RNAcentral lists this unclassified non-coding RNA (489 nucleotides) under Hevea brasiliensis (rubber tree). Lineage: Eukaryota; Viridiplantae; Streptophyta; Magnoliopsida; Malpighiales; Euphorbiaceae. The record is from RNAcentral.
CACUUUGGAACUUUGUUGAAGGCAAAGAUGAUUUGCUUAAUUACAAAGGUAUGAAUGACUUAAAAUUAAGACAUUUCAUUGGGGAAAGUUGGACAUUUUUCAAUUUCUAAAACUGGCAUUAUCAGGUAGGUGGUAAGGAAUGUUACUGAGCCAAUCUUUUAACUGUCAUUGCCAUGUACUUGCCCUGGUGCUCAGCCAGGGCCAACUCUGGCUCACUAGGUUCCCUGCUACCAUCACCCGAGAAAGUUCCUGCUCCAUAGGGAGAACCUCCACUUAUUGAAUCCAUUCUAAACAUUCCUGCACCAAAUGUGUAUCCUAUUGGAACAUACAGCAUCCCAUGGUGAGCUAAUUGAGUCACUGCUGUCCAGGAGGUGGUCUCCUGCCCUCCUCCUUGUGUACCAGUACUGACAAAGAACCCUGCAGGCAAUCCAGCAAGCUUCUGUUCUCUCCACAACUUCCCGGUCGAGUCAAAAAAUGCCUUCAUUUGAG